AGGGAUUUAGCUCAGCGGCUUAAGCACCUGCCUUGCAAGCAGGCGGUCAUGAGUUCAAUCCCUG
This 64-nucleotide transfer RNA is filed under the name Cavia porcellus (domestic guinea pig). It matches the Rfam family "tRNA". Rfam says of the family: Transfer RNA (tRNA) molecules are approximately 80 nucleotides in length. Their secondary structure includes four short double-helical elements and three loops (D, anti-codon, and T loops). Further hydrogen bonds mediate the characteristic L-shaped molecular structure. tRNAs have two regions of fundamental functional importance: the anti-codon, which is responsible for specific mRNA codon recognition, and the 3' end, to which the tRNAs corresponding amino acid is attached (by aminoacyl-tRNA synthetases). tRNAs cope with the degeneracy of the genetic code in two manners: having more than one tRNA (with a specific anti-codon) for a particular amino acid; and 'wobble' base-pairing, i.e. permitting non-standard base-pairing at the 3rd anti-codon position. Lineage: Eukaryota; Metazoa; Chordata; Mammalia; Rodentia; Caviidae. The record is from Rfam by way of RNAcentral.